GAUGAACGCUGGCGGCGUGCCUAAUACAUGCAAGUCGAGCGAACAGACGAGGAGCUUGCUCCUCUGACGUUAGCGGCGGACGGGUGAGUAACACGUGGAUAACCUACCUAUAAGACUGGGAUAACUUCGGGAAACCGGAGCUAAUACCGGAUAAUAUAUUGAACCGCAUGGUUCAAUAGUGAAAGACGGCUUUGCUGUCACUUAUAGAUGGAUCCGCGCCGCAUUAGCUAGUUGGUAAGGUAACGGCUUACCAAGGCAACGAUGCGUAGCCGACCUGAGAGGGUGAUCGGCCACACUGGAACUGAGAAACGGUCCAGACUCCUACGGGAGGCAGCAGUAGGGAAUCUUCCGCAAUGGGCGAAAGCCUGACGGAGCAACGCCGCGGGAGUGAUGAAGGUCUUCGGAUCGUAAAACUCUGUUAUUAGGGAAGAACAAAUGUGUAAGUAACUAUGCACGUCUUGACGGUACCUAAGCAGAAAGCCACGGCUAACUACGU
This 496-nucleotide ribosomal RNA is filed under the name uncultured bacterium. Its description in RNAcentral is "partial 16S ribosomal RNA". It matches the Rfam family "Bacterial small subunit ribosomal RNA", at positions 28 to 506 of the family's 1533-position model. The record is from RNAcentral.